RNAcentral lists this long non-coding RNA (209 nucleotides) under Elaeis guineensis (African oil palm). Its description in RNAcentral is "long non-coding RNA (EGUI_LNC078077)". The record is from RNAcentral. Lineage: Eukaryota; Viridiplantae; Streptophyta; Magnoliopsida; Arecales; Arecaceae.
CUAGGUGUGUACAUUACACUAACAGGUCAUGAUAUUAUGUAUAUUUCAUGUUUUAAUUGUUCACACUUAAUUGUAGUAUCAUUCAUAAUGAUAUCACAAAAAUCAUCCUUUAUUAUAAACUUAUAACCAAGUUUGGCCAAAAGGCCUACAGAGAUGACAUUCAUCAUAAAGGAGGGACAAUAAUGACAAUCAUCUAACAUGACACUACU